Molecule: long non-coding RNA, 1452 nt
Organism: Beta vulgaris subsp. vulgaris (sugar beet)
Lineage: Eukaryota; Viridiplantae; Streptophyta; Magnoliopsida; Caryophyllales; Amaranthaceae
Exons: 4
Source: RefSeq, a predicted model, not a curated record
AGAGAAUUAUGGAGAAUUAGAACUACAAAUUAUUCUUAAAUCAUCCCCAAUUUCAACAUAUGAAGAUGACGAAGAGGGAAGAUGGAGAGAGAGAAGUGGAGAGAGGAGUAGUUAGAGAGAGAAAUGGGUGGCAAAGGGUAUUUUAGAUAUUUUUUAGGAUUGUGUUAGUAAAGUGAUGUUGUAUUUAGCAACAUGUCUUUAAAAGUGUUUAUUAAAUGCUAAUUAUAUUUGUUGAGUUAAUUAUGUAUCAGAUUUUUUUUUUAAUUUGUUGGUGUAUGAUUUCUAUUUUUCAUGUUUGUAAUGUAUAUUAAUUAAUAUUUUUGUGAAAUUAUUAUUUGAAUUAUUUUUGGGUGUUAAGCUUAUAAUUAGUUGGAAUGAUAUUUAGCCAGUCAGAAAACCAAAGUCGGUUUAAUUUGUUUUGGCUUGUCAGUUUACGUUUAGAACCAUUGAACCCCCUUUUUGUUAUUUAUCUCGGUCAAUGAAACAAAAAGUCCACCUUUGCCCAUCUUUCUCUCAUCAUUUCUUAAACCCCAAAAGAAAAAAAAAACCCAAAUCUCGUGAAACCCCAUUUCGCUCCCCUACUUCGCGUUUCUCCUUUGCCCCGCUGUCAUCUUCCUCCAUCGCCUGAGCUUCGUCGUCUGCCACCGCAAGCUAGAGGUGUUGCUCCCAGCUUUUCCUUUCUCCUUUGUUCUCUAUUGCGUGUUGCUCAUGUUGUUGUCCCGCGGUGCUGCUGUCGCCACCGUCGCACGGUGUGGCAGCUCAAUUCUGGCCCGUCAUGAGGCGGAGAUUUCGUAGUAGGAGACUUUUAGUGAGUAAAAGUGGCCUACCGAUUUGUUUAUACAAGGUCAAAUGCUAAUUUUCAACUAUUACAUUCAUGAUUCUUGAAUAUGCAUAUAUUUAGAUGUAUGAGCUUUUUGUGGAUUUGAGCAUCAAUUUGAAGGUUAAUAUCAUGGGAAUGACGCUGACGCAAUGACGUGAUAACUCGCUGACAUGAUGCCAUAUGACAUGAUGACGAAGUAAUUAUGACUUGAAGAUAGAGCGAAGGACGCGAGAUUGGAGCAAAGCGUUAAGUGGUAACGGUCCAGCUAAAUAAGGAAGGAGUGUAAUGAGGCAUAAAUUCAGCCGUUAGAGAGCAAGGAUCAUGACGUUGGAGCGUAAAUGGAGAAGAUCUCCCAUGAUUGAAGCGCCAAAGUUAAUGUAAUAAUUAUUGAAUUCAUUUUUGUAUUCGUUGAGAAAAAGCCAAGAGAAAAAAGAAGGCAUAUAAAAGAGAGAGAGAGAGGUCAUUGACAAGUUUUUUACGCAGCACAAUUGGAAGAACACUAGAGAGAAAAUAACAUUCUUGUAACGACAGCCAGUCACUAAGAAAGAUAGUGAACCAUAUUAGUUUGGUGGAUCUCCAACCACCCGCGGUUUUUACCCACCUUCAUUGGGGUUAAAAUCCCCUUUGAUCCC